CGAGAGGGACGUCUGUCUAAAGAAGAGGUGUCAUCAAGCAAGAAGUAUGAGAAAAGUUUCUCCAGAAAGAAGGAAGGUGAAACAAAUGCAGUGUCAGUAGGGUGGCAGAGGAGGCCUCAUAUCAAAAGAAAUCCACAACCGCGUCAGCAUCAUCACCAAGUUUUAUCAGUUAUUCCAGUAUUUUCUAACAAUCAGUCAAUGUCAG
RNAcentral lists this long non-coding RNA (205 nucleotides) under Lathyrus oleraceus (garden pea). RNAcentral describes it as "Pisum sativum (pea) long non-coding RNA (PSAT_LNC029991)". Lineage: Eukaryota; Viridiplantae; Streptophyta; Magnoliopsida; Fabales; Fabaceae. The record is from RNAcentral.